Molecule: ribosomal RNA, 253 nt
Filed under: uncultured bacterium
Lineage: Bacteria
Description: partial 16S ribosomal RNA
Rfam family: Bacterial small subunit ribosomal RNA
Source: RNAcentral
UACGUAGGGUGCAAGCGUUAAUCGGAAUUACUGGGCGUAAAGCGUGCGCAGGCGGUGAUGUAAGACAGAUGUGAAAUCCCCGGGCUCAACCUGGGAACUGCAUUUGGGACUGCAAGGCUUGAGUGCGGCAGAGGAGACUGGAAUUCCCGGUGUAGCAGUGAAAUGCGUAGAUAUCGGGAGGAAUACCGAUGGCGAAGGCAGGUCUCUGGGCUGGCACUGACACUGAGAGACGAAAGCUAGGGGAGCGAAUGGG